RNAcentral lists this ribosomal RNA (954 nucleotides) under uncultured organism. RNAcentral describes it as "bacterial SSU rRNA". It matches the Rfam family "Bacterial small subunit ribosomal RNA", at positions 465 to 1417 of the family's 1533-position model. The record is from RNAcentral.
GGGGUUGACGGUACCCUACUAGAAAGGAGCCGCUAACUUCGUGCCAGAAGCGUCGGUAAUACGGGGGCUCCAAGCGUUAUCCGGUGUUAUUGGGCGUAAAGAGUCGUGUAGGUGGUUGGGUAAGUUAUCUUUCAAAUAUCUUUGCUUAACAAAGAGGAGGGGGAUAAUACUGCUCGACUAGAAUUUUCUCAAGGGAGAUCGGAACUGAGGGAGGAGUAGUGAAAUGCGUUGAUACCCUCGGGAACACCAGUGGCGUAGGCGGAUCUCUGGGAGAAGAUUGACACUGAGACACGAAAGCUAGGGGAGCGAAGCAGAUUAGAGACCUGCGUAGUCCUAGCCGUAAACGCAUGCUUGCUAGCUGCAUGAAUCUACCUUCGGGUGGUAUCGUGUGGCGAAGGUAACCCGUUAAGCAAGCCGCCUGGAAAGUACGGCCGCAAGGCUGAAAUUCAAAGGAAUUGGCGGGGAGGCACACAACCAGUGGAACAUGUGGUUUAAUUCGAGACUAACCGAAGAACCUCACCAGGGUUUGACAUGUAGCUGCACGUCUUAAGAAAUUAAGACUCUCUUGAAGGUGUUACACAGGUGCUGCAUGGCUGUCGUCAGCUCGUUCCGUGAGGAGUGCCCUUAAGUGGGACAACGAGCGCAACCCCUAUUACAUGUUAGAAAUGUCAUGUAAGACUGCCUUGCCAUUUGGCGGGGAGGAAGGAGGGGCAGACGUCAAGUCCGCAUGGUCCUUAUGCCCUGGGCUACACACAUGUUACAAUGAGUACGGCAAUGAGUCUGUCGCGAGCACGUAAGUGUAAGCUAAUCUCUUAAAUGUACUCUCAGUGGGGAUUGAGGUCUGCAACUCGACCUCAUGAACACGGAAUUGGUAGUAAUCGCGGGUCAGCUAUACCGCGGUGAUACGUUCUUGCCUCUUGCACACACCGCCCGUCAAACCAGCAAAGUCGAUUG